AAGUCGUAACAAGGUUUCCGUAGGUGAACCUGCGGAAGGAUCAUUAACACGUUAUCCACGUCAACCUUCGUGAACCGAUUUUGUUUUAGGGGGAUGCAGGAUAUCCUCCGUCACCGUACGACCUUUUUUUCAUUAAAAAGGAAACGGCGGUGACAUGACUUUAUUAACCUUUCUAACAAAUUGUACUAAACUUUGAGUGGGAAUUGCGAAAGCAUAUUCCUUACACUCUUCAUUACAAAACAUUAGAACAACUCUUAGCAACGGAUAUCUUGGUUCUC
RNAcentral lists this unclassified non-coding RNA (278 nucleotides) under fungal sp. RNAcentral's name for it is "partial internal transcribed spacer region". The stretch from base 1 to 46 matches the Rfam family "Eukaryotic small subunit ribosomal RNA", at positions 1786 to 1831 of the family's 1831-position model. The record is from RNAcentral. Lineage: Eukaryota; Fungi.